Molecule: small RNA, 26 nt
Filed under: Bombyx mori (domestic silkworm)
Lineage: Eukaryota; Metazoa; Arthropoda; Insecta; Lepidoptera; Bombycidae
Description: ovarian small RNA-17130
Source: RNAcentral
GCUGGAACAGUGCACUCAUGUAAAGA